RNAcentral lists this long non-coding RNA (310 nucleotides) under Elaeis guineensis (African oil palm). RNAcentral describes it as "long non-coding RNA (EGUI_LNC057595)". The record is from RNAcentral. Lineage: Eukaryota; Viridiplantae; Streptophyta; Magnoliopsida; Arecales; Arecaceae.
UGUCGUGGUCCAUGCAACCGCUGUGGACCAUCAUGAUCCAAGGGGCAAAAAAUCAUGGUGCAUAGCUAGUUUUGCAUGAUCCAAUGGCCAGAAAGGCUCAUGGUCACGAUCGGAUGGUGGGCAAGGGUGCGUGGAUGUGAUCCGAUAUGAGUGGGAGUAGGAAAGCACGAUCGAAUGGCCAAAAGUGUGAACCAAUUUGAUCCAACAGUCAGAAAAGGUACCUGACUCCUGUUGAAAUUUUGGUUCUGAUCUGGAGUGGAUUUUAGGUCUAUAAAAGUGGCCUGUUGGCUUGAAACAGUGGUGUGGCAGC